This 406-nucleotide ribosomal RNA is filed under the name uncultured bacterium. RNAcentral's name for it is "partial 16S ribosomal RNA". It matches the Rfam family "Bacterial small subunit ribosomal RNA", at positions 30 to 526 of the family's 1533-position model. The record is from RNAcentral.
AUUGAACGCUGGCGGCAGGCUUAACACAUGCAAGUCGAGCGAGCGGCGGACGGGUGAGUAAUGUCUGGGAAACUGCCUGAUGGAGGGGGAUAACUACUGGAAACGGACGCUAAUACCGCAUACCAUCAGAUGUGCCCAGAUGGGAGUGGCUAGUAGGUGGGGUAAUGGCUCACCUAGGCGACGAUCCCUAGAUGGUCUGAGAGGAUGACCAGCAACCUUGGAACUGAGACACGGUCCAGACUCCUACGGUAGGCAGCAGUGGGGAAUAUGGCACAAUGGGCGCAAGCCUGAUGCAGCCAUGCCGCGUGUGGGAAGAAGGCCUUCGGGUUGUAAAGCACUUUCAGCGAGGAGGCGUUACUCGCAGAAGAAGCACCGGCUAACUCCGUGCCAGCCGCCGCGGUAAUAC